Molecule: ribosomal RNA, 253 nt
Filed under: uncultured bacterium
Lineage: Bacteria
Description: partial 16S ribosomal RNA
Rfam family: Bacterial small subunit ribosomal RNA
Source: RNAcentral
UACGUAGGGUGCAAGCGUUAAUCGGAAUUACUGGGCGUAAAGCGUGCGCAGGCGGUUUUGUAAGUCUGUCGUGAAAUCCCCGGGCUCAACCUGGGAAUUGCGAUGGAGACUGCAAGGCUAGAAUCUGGCAGAGGGGGGUAGAAUUCCACGUGUAGCAGUGAAAUGCGUAGAGAUGCGGAGGAACACCGAUGGCGAAGGCAGCCCCCUGGGUCAAGAUUGACGCUCAUGCACGAAAGCGUGGGGAGCAAACAGG